GCCCGCCUAGCUCAAUCGGAUAGAGCGUCAGACUUUUAAGGCGGGUUGUCUUUGUAAUCUGAAGGCUGCGAGUUCGACCCUCGCGGUGGGCU
This 92-nucleotide transfer RNA is filed under the name Gymnopus androsaceus JB14. It matches the Rfam family "tRNA". From Rfam's summary of the family: Transfer RNA (tRNA) molecules are approximately 80 nucleotides in length. Their secondary structure includes four short double-helical elements and three loops (D, anti-codon, and T loops). The record is from Rfam by way of RNAcentral. Lineage: Eukaryota; Fungi; Basidiomycota; Agaricomycetes; Agaricales; Omphalotaceae.